AUGGGCUUUGCCUUCCGCUGCUGCAACAACCAUGAAUUUUAGAAAAAUCAGGUAACGUGAGAGAAAGGAGAGACAAGGAAAAAACAGCCCAUUUGAAAUUACGAUAGGGACAUUGUCACCCAUUCGGCUGGACAGUAUACAAAGGCAGUGUGGGUUCCACUAGACAUCUGUUAUAACUUGCAUGUACUUCACAGUGUUGACUAGUAACAGGCACAGCUUAGAAUAAAAUAGUAUGUUAGCCGGAUUAAAAGGACUUUCUAAGCAUCAUGACCACUACACUACUACAAAGUGGUUAUGAGGCUGAGAGUCUUUGGGUGCUUUUUGUGUCCACCAGUACUCAUGUACACACGUUUAUAUGCAUAUGUAAAUGUGUGUACUACAGUAAAUC
Non-coding RNA from Pelobates cultripes (western spadefoot toad), 388 nucleotides. Lineage: Eukaryota; Metazoa; Chordata; Amphibia; Anura; Pelobatidae. The record is from the annotation of a GenBank genome assembly.